GUGACGUGUGGCUCUCUGCAGUGGAUGGCUUUACCCAUUCUCAGCCUUGCCCUCCUCCCUCCCCAGAGGAUCCUGGCGCUUAAUUCCACCAUCCCUCAGCAUCCCUCAGUGGCCCCUCCGGCCAGCAGCGGCUGCUGGCGGUGGCAGGAUCAGGUCCCUGUGCUCAGCUGCCUGCCCUUCCCUUGGCUGGAGCUGAUCCCCUCCGAGACCAGCUGGCAGAGCUUCCCUCCGAUCCCCCAUGGUUGCCUUGCUCGUCCUGACGUGUCCGCAACAGUGAGAAGAUUGGGUAUACCCUGUACAAGACCUCAAGCUGGAUCUCAAACCCCGUACAUCUAGGAUCUUGAGAACUGGAAAGAAGCAAGGACCAUUGGGCUAAGUAUCUGCUGCAGACUCCUUUCUCAUCAGUACUCAGAAGUGGCACAGCUUGUUCGAAGCAAUAGCUGUGUGGUACGGUUGUAGAAAGAUGAGAUCUCUAUUACGUUUUAGCUCCUGCAGUGCAGAGUAAACAGAUUUGUGCUUGCUUUCCUCAUUCACUUCUUCCUCUGUGACUGCCUCAGGAUGGAGUAAAAAGCAAUGCAGUGGUGUGAUGGCUGCUUCCCUUGUCCCCAGCAAGCAGAAUAUUGUUGGUAGUAUGGGGACUGAGGGGGGCACAGAAACAGCCUGAGUUUGUUACCUUUUUGUAGCCAGUGCUUCUGGUUUCAUUGUACUGCGUAGCCGGUGGAGCUGAUACAUCAGGAUGCAGUGCUAAGCUUUCUCAGACUUACCACAGUUUGAAAUGCUGCUGAUUUCUGUUCCUGCCUGGCAUUUGGGAUCUUCACUGUUUGCAGGGGACCAACAAUUUGUUUGGUCUAUGAAGUCUGUAAAGUGUUUGAUCUCUACAGAAGUAAGCAGAAUGGUAAAGUGGAAAAUUAAUGUAGUUUUUGAUUGAAAACAUACCUCCUUGCUUGCAUCUACAGUAUUGGUAGUUUAUCUUGCUUCAGAAAUGAACACUACUUUGACCAGUCCACAUGGAUUUACUCUUGUGCACGCAGAUCAGAUUUGGAGGUGGCUGUUGCUGGUGACAUCCAAGACCAGUUCCAGAUGCACACAAAAACGGAUUUGCCCUGGUGGCCCCAGUGGCAGUGUGAACCGCAGAGCUGUGCUUCAGAUAUGGCGUGUGCCCAGCUUUGCCCUUAGAGCAACUGGGUGGCAGUCUGAGAGGUAAGUGGCUGUGCAGAGCAAAUGUGCUGAUGACAUCCAGAGUGUUUCAAAUAGCCGAACCGUAGUGGUGUCUGCACCCCACUGCUGCAAUUCAGAGACGUGGAUUUUGUGCAGACUCGGUGCUGCAGAGUCAAACUGCCUUGCACAUGUACCACUGGUAGGCAGCUGUGACCCUACAGACUUUCACAAAGGUUAAGAAUGAGUUCUCAUGAAGGUGUAAUUCAGCUCCAGGAGUUGCAGUCGAGUCUCCUUGACUGCAAAAUGAAGCUUUUUACUUUAUGAUAAUAUGAGCAAAAUAAAUAUGAGCAUAAUAAAUAUGAGCA
This 1523-nucleotide long non-coding RNA is filed under the name Anas platyrhynchos platyrhynchos (common mallard). Its description in RNAcentral is "lncRNA (ENSAPLG00000019215.1)". The record is from RNAcentral. Lineage: Eukaryota; Metazoa; Chordata; Aves; Anseriformes; Anatidae.